UUUUUUUCCAUCUUUUAUUUUAUUAAUGGGUCUAAGCCCAUGAUCCAACAAAACAAACAUAAAACAUAAAGCCCGACACAAUGGGCCUACAUAAACUAAACCCGGGCCUAAAGCACAAGCCCACAAACCAAACGGCUAAACACGCGUCCAACAAAGCUCGCAUGCCCGUCCACGUGUUGAAGCCCACCCCUUUCGAGAACACGCGUCACCUGGUCACACCACCGCGACCGGCACCGAGAAAAACAUCGCCGGCGAAGACGAAACCAUCUCCUUCUGCUCUGUCUUCUCUGACUCCGGCGUAGUUUUUCUCGAGUUAGUCUCGAUGUAGCUCUCCGUUGAAGAGUCCAGGCGAAACAGAUGGGUGAGAUGGUCUCAGUUUCCGGUGUGCUCCGUCGAAACUAUAGGUGGUUUCGUCUUCGCCGGCGAUGUUUUCUCGGUGCCGGUCGCGGUGGUGUGACCAGGUGACGCGUGUUCUCGAAAGGGGUGGGCUUCAACACGUGGACGGGCAUGCGAGCUUUGUUGGACGCGUGUUUAGCCGUUUGGUUUGUGGGCUUGUGCUUUAGGCCCGGGUUUAGUUUAUGUAGGCCCAUUGUGUCGGGCUUUAUGUUUUAUGUUUGUUUUGUUGGAUCAUGGGCUUAGACCCAUUAAUAAAAUAA
RNAcentral lists this long non-coding RNA (656 nucleotides) under Brassica napus (rape). RNAcentral describes it as "long non-coding RNA (BNAP_LNC013649)". The record is from RNAcentral. Lineage: Eukaryota; Viridiplantae; Streptophyta; Magnoliopsida; Brassicales; Brassicaceae.